Molecule: long non-coding RNA, 579 nt
Organism: Lingula anatina
Lineage: Eukaryota; Metazoa; Brachiopoda; Lingulata; Lingulida; Lingulidae
Source: RefSeq, a predicted model, not a curated record
CGACACGGCAGAAAUUAUAUACGUUAUCAUUUUUAUUUUAUAUUUUCCACGCUGUUCUUAUGUUUAUUUAUAUUGUGUUAGAGAAGACACUAGAACACUGCUCAAUAUUAAGUAACAUCUAUUCAUCUAGUCAUGUGAUGAACUGUAUAAAAGCCGAUGUUGCAUGUACUCUGCGCGGUCAUUUAUAUACUUACUGGCAGAGUGGAGUACCAGCUCAGAUUUCUAUGGCCGUAUCUGAGCAGCCAGUUACUAGCGGAGAAAGCGAGUCUGGAUAUUGUUCUAGUUUUUCACCAGUUUUGUCCAGUUUCUGUUCAGUUUCUGUUCGGAUUCUGUUCAGUUCUGUUCACUGCGUGAAUAAACGGCAGUAUUAUCCAAUGGUGUUGCUUCAUUUACUCGUGGUCCGCUACAGUGAAAAACUAGAACAACCCAAGGCUGGGUUAUAUUGGAGGGUUCUCUAGAGGGAAACUUGCCAUCCCGAGGUUGGGAUACACCGGAGAACUCGACAAGUGCUAAUCUUGUUUCCCCGAGGGUACACGCUGUUUCACCGUCACACUAGACCAUGACUGACACAGGAGAGGA